Cyprinodon tularosa is the source of this 485-nucleotide long non-coding RNA. RefSeq lists it as uncharacterized. The transcript has 2 exons. Lineage: Eukaryota; Metazoa; Chordata; Actinopteri; Cyprinodontiformes; Cyprinodontidae. The record is from RefSeq and is a predicted model, not a curated record.
UGAGAACGUACAGCUUGUUCUUGGCAGAUCUGGGUUAGACGAUCCAGCUGCUCCUCUCGUACUGCCUUGGCCUUCUCAUACUGCUGGAUUUCCAGCUCCAUUUCCACCUUCACUUGCAGAACAUGCGAAAUGAGAUAAUGAGGCCGAUGGCAUCCCAGGGGCUGCUGGGGCCGUUGGCCACUGUGGAGGCCACCAUGGGGGCCAGAGAGAGUACGAUGACAGCUCCAUCAAACACCUGAAACAAAAAGGCAACUCCUGUGUUAUAACACCUGCAGAACAACCUCUCCCCCCCAAAUCAAUUUACUUCUUAUAAGACAUGAAAGAGUUCACCUCUACUUUGUUCUCAAUGUAAUCCCAUAUCCCCAGCACCACAAUCCUGAACACCGUCUAAGAGCAGCAGUGGUGGGACAGAAAAAACAAGGUUAUAAGAAGAUCCAUUUACAAGUAUUUUCUUAAUUUAUUCAAUUACACUACAUUCAUUUAAA